GGCCCCAUCGUCUAGCGGCCUAGGACGCUGCCCUCUCAAGGCAGAGAUCACGGGUUCGAAUCCCGUUGGGGCCACCA
Molecule: transfer RNA, 77 nt
Filed under: Elusimicrobiota bacterium
Lineage: Bacteria; Pseudomonadati; Elusimicrobiota
Description: Elusimicrobia bacterium (groundwater metagenome) tRNA-Glu
Rfam family: tRNA
About the family: Transfer RNA (tRNA) molecules are approximately 80 nucleotides in length. Their secondary structure includes four short double-helical elements and three loops (D, anti-codon, and T loops).
Source: RNAcentral